This 75-nucleotide transfer RNA is filed under the name Deltaproteobacteria bacterium. RNAcentral's name for it is "tRNA-Val". It matches the Rfam family "tRNA". From Rfam's summary of the family: Transfer RNA (tRNA) molecules are approximately 80 nucleotides in length. Their secondary structure includes four short double-helical elements and three loops (D, anti-codon, and T loops). Further hydrogen bonds mediate the characteristic L-shaped molecular structure. tRNAs have two regions of fundamental functional importance: the anti-codon, which is responsible for specific mRNA codon recognition, and the 3' end, to which the tRNAs corresponding amino acid is attached (by aminoacyl-tRNA synthetases). tRNAs cope with the degeneracy of the genetic code in two manners: having more than one tRNA (with a specific anti-codon) for a particular amino acid; and 'wobble' base-pairing, i.e. permitting non-standard base-pairing at the 3rd anti-codon position. Lineage: Bacteria; Pseudomonadati; Myxococcota; Myxococcia. The record is from RNAcentral.
AGUUCUGUAGCUCAAUGACAGAGCACAUGGCUUACAACCGUGUGAUCUCCGGGUUCAACUCAGGCAGAACUACCA